This 118-nucleotide ribosomal RNA is filed under the name uncultured bacterium. RNAcentral's name for it is "partial 16S rRNA". It matches the Rfam family "Bacterial small subunit ribosomal RNA", at positions 355 to 491 of the family's 1533-position model. The record is from RNAcentral.
UGGGGAAUAUUGCACAAUGGGGGAAACCCUGAUGCAGCGACGCCGCGUGAAGGAAGAAGUAUUUCGGUAUGUAAACUCUAUCAGCAGGGAAGAUAAUGACGGUACCUGACUAAGAAGC